UCGCGCCGCCACGUUGUGAGAAGUUCAUUAAACCUUAUCAUUUAGAGGAAGGAGAAGUCGUAACAAGGUUUCCGUAGGUGAACCUGCGGAAGGAUCAUUGUACACACAAUCAAAAAUGUUGACGAAUCUUUCGUCCUCCUCCCUGGGACACGUUUCAAGGAGAGGGGCGAGGAAGCCACUUCAAAACUAUCAAAAAUGUACUCACGAAAGGAACGGCAAGCUUUAAAACCCGAGGGAAUCGCACUGCAGAGGUGCGGUCGUCGACCAUGUGAUUCCGGGACUCGCAGGCCUCCUCUGCUUAGGGAGAGGGAGCUUGGGAGUGCCACCGCGGGUGCGUCGCGGGCUUGUUUCCAUGGUCGUCGGGGUUUGUCCCGCUCGCACGACUCCCGGGCAACGCCUCCCAUCCGUCUCCCUCGCCAGAGGGAGGCGGGGGAGGCCUGUCGGGAGUAAGGAUGUUAACGUCCUCCCCUCUUCUCGGGAGCACCCUUCUCUCCUGGUCGCCCCCUCCUCCGUCUUGGAGGAGGAGGCUGCCCUCGGUUUGCGGGACCCCGGAGGCGUCCCCGGGCUUGUCUUUCCGUGGGUGCAGAAUCAGCCAAACGUCCAACGAUGAACGUAAGACAGACCAAAAUUUAUCAAACAAAUGGACUCUCAGCAACGGAUAUCUUGGCUCUUGCAACGAUGAAGAACGCAGCGAAAUGCGAUACCUAGUGUGAAUUGCAGAAUUCCGCGAAUCAUCGAGUUUUUGAACGCAAGUUGCGCCCGAGGCUCUUACCGAGGGCAUGUCUGUCUGAGCGUCCUUGGGGUCCCGCCCAUCCACCUCGUCGUGUUGGCGAGGAUGCAUAGGAUGGGCGCCGGGAUGGCCUAUGCGCGGACCAUCCAUUGGGCUCGCCCAAGGGAAAGAGUCCCGCUCGGCUGAAAUCUAUGUCCGUCCUGGAAAUCGGAAGGGACGUUGCGAGAAGGUGCUCCGCUUUACGAAAGUGGGCGGAUGAUAUCAUGGAUAUCAAUAGCACGCGACGCUCCCUUCCCUCUCAAAAGGACUCGGAAAAAACGGGACUCCCGUCAUUGCACGGGAGUUUUUCACGUCUUGGACCUCAGAUCAGGCAAGAUCACCCGCUGAGUUUAAGCAUAUCACUAAGCGGAGGAAAAGAAACUAACGAGAUUUCCUUAGUAACGGCGAGCGACCGAAG
Molecule: ribosomal RNA, 1187 nt
Filed under: Frullania polysticta
Lineage: Eukaryota; Viridiplantae; Streptophyta; Jungermanniopsida; Porellales; Frullaniaceae
Description: eukaryotic LSU rRNA
Rfam family: 5.8S ribosomal RNA (bases 644-797)
Source: RNAcentral